RNAcentral lists this ribosomal RNA (253 nucleotides) under uncultured bacterium. RNAcentral's name for it is "partial 16S ribosomal RNA". It matches the Rfam family "Bacterial small subunit ribosomal RNA", at positions 524 to 776 of the family's 1533-position model. The record is from RNAcentral.
UACGUAGGGGGCAAGCGUUGUCCGGAUUCAUUGGGCGUAAAGAGCGUGUCGGCGGCCAGGUAGGUCGGUUGUGAAAACUGGAGGCUCAACCUUCAGAGGUCGACCGAAACCAUCUGGCUAGAGUCCGGGAGAGGAGAGUGGAAUUCCUGGUGUAGCGGUGAAAUGCGCAGAUAUCAGGAAGAACACCCGUGGCGAAAGCGGCUCUCUGGAACGGUACUGACGCUGAGACGCGAAAGCGUGGGGAGCGAACAGG